RNAcentral lists this small RNA (7521 nucleotides) under Pan troglodytes (chimpanzee). RNAcentral describes it as "retained intron". Lineage: Eukaryota; Metazoa; Chordata; Mammalia; Primates; Hominidae. The record is from RNAcentral.
GGGAUGUUUUUAAAGGGGUUGUGUAGAAGGGCAGAGACACCCGUGGAAAGUGUCACUGUUGCCCUCAAUUGCUGGAGAGCCUGGAGGCUGUCAUAAGUCCACUCAUCAAAGUAAUUGUUUGCCAGUGUUUUGAUAACAAGCAACAGAAACAGCCCUGGCUGCUGUAAGCAGCAAAGGAGAUUAUUAGAAGGAGCUUGGGCAGUGCUGGAGAAUUGACAGGAUGGCUGGAGAACAGGACUCAGAAAACAGGCAGGAACUGGGGGAGCUGGGUGGUCAGAGCCCCAGCCCUAGCCAAGGGGACAACUCAGGAAUGACCUGGUCAGGGGGCCACUGUUGCCAACACUGGAUGCCAGAUUCUGCUACUGACACCAGAAUAAAUUCGGAGCCAGUCCCUCCUCCUCUGCCCUACCAGCUCCAGAGGCAGAUCCCAAGGAGGGCUUCCGUCUGUCGAGCCCAGGUUCACGGGCCUGCCUCCCAGCCUCCAGCCCCAGGAAGAGCCCUGAGGCCUUCUCAGCUUCUGUGAUGGUGGUGGGGGUGGGCCUCUCUCCAAGACUUACACACAGGGAGAGGCUCAGGGGUUGGGCAGCCAAAAAAUGACCACAGACAUUCACCUCCAAGGUCAAAGCGAAAGUCAUGUUCUCGGUGGUUGGGUGGCCGUGGUGGCAUCUUAAGAGCAAGAAUGUGCUGAGGUUACAUAUACACUGAGUGGAGGGAGGCAGAGUGAGCCUGACCCAUACGGCCUUCAUUUAGCCUGAAUCAGGCAGGGACUUGAAGAACGAAGUGGCCUGAGCAGCCACAAUGACUCCCUAAGAGCUGAAUGACACCGCACAUCACUGGGGGUUAGUGACAGAUCUGAGAUGGUCACACCAGCCCCUGGACUUGCCAGCUGAGUUUCUUGUGUGCCCAGUGGCCAGCCCAGUGGCAGUUUCUACAAGUGUCUUUCAGUGAACCACUCACCCCCUAGCUUGUCUGCUGAGACAGGGGUCUAGAAACAAUACGCUUGUGGUGAAACGCCCAUCCAGUCACAUGGCACGGGGCUCCUGAGUUGGAGCUACACUUUGUGGUAUGCAUCUUAACACACCCAGCCCCUCACCAUUCUCCAAAGAUCUUGGCACCUCCGUGGAGUGUCAAAACUGCAGUGUGGGCCAUGGCUCAUCAGGCCGAGCGUUUUCCAGAGGCCCAGGGUGAGCCCUGAGUUUGGCCGCUAAACUGUGACUCCUGAGUUCGCAUGCUCUGUCUGGUGCUGGCUCUGUUGUCCACUGGCUUGGGAGGAUGCAUCACGAGGACUUUAAUCUCCUACUGUCAAUAGCUUUAAGGUAAAGUACAUGCAGGGUAAGCUCUCCAAAUGUCAGAGCCAGGCGCAGGCUUUGUGUUUGGUGCUGAUGCAUGGCAUUUACUCUGAAGGUUCAGGAAAGUACAUGGGCUUUGCGGGGUCUGGCUGCCCAAAUACGGGUUAAUUAGCAACAGCUGACAGCAGCAGCCCCGGCCACAGGAGAGAGGUGACCCAGACCCUUGAUAAAAAACCCUCAUGGGAGACAAAUUAUUCUGUGAAGGAAAAUAACUCAGGCUUUCCUCAUUGCCACCCUCCGCGAGAUUUUACCCCAGACCUGAGGCGGCUGUACUAACAAGACUCUGAUCUUUCUCUUUGUGUUCAAGGAUAUCCCAACUUCGUGGCGACCUAUGGCCGUGGCUACCCCGGAUUUGCUCCAAGCUAUGGCUAUCAGUUCCCAGGUGAGUGGCUUGGUCUCCCAGGGCUUUGGAAGCACAAGAGGUGGGCUGCAUUUGCGGGGAGGUGAGAGGACCCCUAAAGAGAAUGCAUUUCUUACAUGCAUCCACUUGAAAAUGACCUAUACGUGAUAAAUUUCAAAUCCACUGAAGUUCAAGGCCAGGAUGCAGCUCAGAGUUUCUGAUUAACUCAGGUAUUACUCACUGGUACCGGGUAUUUGAGAACGGCAGCUUUUAAAGGGAAAGCAGGAGAACGGAGGCAGGAGGCCUCCCUGUGCUCACCUCCUUUUUCUGAAGCCUCUUCCGGGUUUUUUCUCACUGAGGGCUGAACUCUAGGCCCAGGGCUUUCUUUCACCCUCUACCACCCCUUGCCCGCCUCCCCGCUCCCUGUGUCCACCUGCCCAAUGUUUGAUGUCUCCCCGCCCUUCCUUCCUUUCCUCCACCCCUCCUCCUCCUGCUCGGUCCUGACUGCUGUGGCUUCGGCGCCCUUCUAGGCUGUGUUGAUGUUGAGCUGCUAGGGGUUGGGGCUGCUGUCCAUCCUGGGUGGGCUGUUUAGAUUAUCCUUUCGCUCUGCGUGGGGAGAAGCAGCGAGGGGAAACAUGGUCUUGUAGGGAUGGGGUAGGGACAAUGAAGGAAGCGAUGUUUUACAGGGUAUGCUUUUCCCCAGCCUUUCUCAAAUCUGGAGUACAGAUAAGAAUAUAUUGGGGUGUUUGGGGGUCUCCAUGUGCAAAGGACAGCCGAGAUUCCAGAGGAGGUGUAGGGACAGAGUCUUGUCCCCUGUGGGUUUUCUGCUGAGGGAGGAGGCUCCCUGGGGAGCUGGGCUGCAGGCGGAGUUUCACCCCUGCCUUGUCGUCAUGCCUAGACCUGGAGGUCUGGGAGUGUCAGGGUCUGAGAUGAAUUAGGAAGCAAAGGGAGUGAAGACGCGUCGCUGGAAGAUGGCGCCCUGACACUGAUGACAGGAGGGCAGAGUGAGGGCUUGGCCUGGUCUUUGCCUCAGACCAAGCAUUGGGGCGGGAAGGGUGUAGUUGGAGAGAUGAGGAGGCAUUUGGGGGCACCUAGAGCCGUGCUCUAUGGCAGACAGAUCCUUCAACCAGCGGUGGAAGCCCCAAGCUCUUGUCCUGUCUCCGAUACCACCUGGCCAAGUGGCCAUGGGCAGGUCACUCCGCUUCUAGGGCCUUACUUCUCUCUUUUGGAAAAGGGGGUCUAUGAGGAAUGGUCUUUGGGGUCUGUGCCCCUCUCCGAUUGUGUGGGUCAGAGGGUGCAGGGAAGGCAGGCACAGAAGCAGAAGUCCAAGAUGGAGGAGUUUGAGUGCAGGUGGCUCCCCCACCAGUGUCCCCUGGGGCUGGGAUGGUUCCCCAUCUGGGAGGGGCCUCAACAAGACUCCUCGGCCCGCACUAAGGAAGCCGUCCCCAAAGAUGCCCCCCAGCAGCAGCUGCUUCAGGAUGGCCACAGGCUCCCAGACCUGAAGAAAAGAAGGGCACAUGCAAGAAGGACCACCACAAGAGAGGCCAGCACUCAACCAGCCACUGUCAUUAGACUUUCCCAUUUCCAGGCAGAGACCCCCACCAGGCACAGGCACAGAGGUAGAAACUCCUUCUGAAGGGGUCACUGUACGCAAGGGGUAGGACCUGCAUUUGGACCAGGCGGUCUGGGCCUUAACUGCCACCCUCCACCAUCUCCCUAGUGUCUAUUUUUCUGGUACAAUAACACUAGCCACAAAGAGCUACUAAAACUUAGGUUUAAAUUAAAGUUGGCUGGGUGCGGUGGCUCACGCCUGUAAUCCCAACACUUUGGGAGGCCGAGGUGGGAGGAUCACUUGAGGUCAGGAGUUCGAGACCCACCUGGCCAACAUGGUGAAACCCCGUCUCUACUAAAAAUAUAAAAAUGAGCCGGGCGUGGUGCCCGGCAUCUAUAAUCCCAGCUACUCAGGAGGCUGAGGCAAGAGAAUCACUUGAACCCAGGAGGCAGAGGUUUCAGUGAGCCGAGAUCACACCACUAUACUCCAGCCUGGAUAACAGAGUGAGACUCUGUCUCAAAAAUAAGAAGAAGAAUAAGAAGAAGUAAAAAGAAAAUUUCAGUUCCUUUAGAAACACUGGCCACAUUUCAGUGACUCAGUAACCAUGUGUGGCAAGUGGCUAUUGCCAGCACAGAAUGUAGAACAGUCACCGUGGAAAUUUAUGGGCUGGUGCUGUUCCAGUGCCUAAAGGAAGAGGGCUGUUACUGGUGGGGUGCAUGGUCCACACACUUACACAUGUGCACCACUCCUUCCUGGAGAGACCCAUGGGGUCAGUGUCCCUGUGCUUCAUUCUCUGCCAGUCUUGCUCAGCCCAGAAGCUGGUGGCUUUUCCUCUCACUUCCUCCCCUCGCUUCCCCUCCAGGGGAUGACAGGUGCAAAGGCUCACGCAUCUCGGCCCUCCAGGUGCAGCGCUGAUCUGUGCACUCAGCCUGCACAACCUGCUCCCCUCCGUAAUCAGGCUGCCAUUGCCCCUGAGUGUGAUGCUAGUCCCAGGAAGACAGAGUUGAGGGAUCUUAACAUGGAAUAAUUGGGGGAGGACAUCAAUGUGGACCUCAUGCUAAGGCCCCUGUCUCAUCAGAGGGCCUGCCCCGGGGCCCCCAUGAGCUGGCUCAGGAGACAUCUAGUAGAACUCUGCCUCCAUGGCCUGCAUCCCUGGGCCUGCCCCAGGCAGACGGACAUGCAGCAGUGACCAGAUUGAGGCUGGGCAGAGUGAGAUAGGGUCCCCUGGGUGCCCAGCCCUUCACCAAAGCCAAGACUUUGGGAACUGGGGGCGGUGGGGGGUGGGGUGGGCUGCAGGAAGGAGGAUAGAGUGGGGUUGGAGUGUUUUUGCCCAGGGCCCAUCCGUUUGUCAUGGCCACAGUCCCUGCAGCUUAAUACAAUCAGGUGGGUUUGAAUGGGACAGAAAUCAGGCAUUACAAUGUACAGAGAGCAGCUUCCUGACCUUUGGGAGUUAGCUGCCCUGUUCUCAACCAUCAAACUUUUAUUUUUCCAUCCUUCCCACCUUCCCACUCACUAUGGAAGCCUCUUGAUUCUCUUAACUAAUGGCCAGAAAGGGGCCACCAGUGGCCACAAGAGUAAGGCUGCCUGCUCUCAGGGAGGGCAAGAGUGGAGUGGCCCUGAACUGGGAAGGGUGGCCCCGUGGCUGGGGCCGCCCACCCCACUCAUCUGAGAAGCCAGGCUAGGGUCGGAGUCUAUUCCCCUCCUGACCCCCUCCCAAAGGAUAUGCUCCUUGUGGAGUUUUGUGUCUGUGCUUAUCCCAGAUGCCUCCCCAAGCAGCCAAAUGUUUCCAGACACAAAGCCUAGGUAGGUCCAUGUGUCAUUCCAGUCAAGAGCGCAGGGAGUAGCUGAGCCCCUCUAGAACCAAACUUGAUGACUCCUGGAGCCACAGCCUCAGGGCCAGGGCUACAGAGAAGCUUCGGGAUGCCCUGACUUCCAUCUGUCACCUCAUGCCAAUAAGGAAAGUUUCGGGUGGAUCUGGCCGAGGCGGCUGGGGUACAGAAGGGGGGACCCAGAGAUGGGGCAGCCCAGCCCUCUGCCCUCUCCUCAUCCCCAUCAGGUAGAUUCUGCGAACCCCUGCCAUGCCCCGGGGAUCCUGUGACUUCGUGACAUUGCACAGCAGUCAUGUCACCUCCCAACUAUCCUGAUGUUUUCUUUGUGGUCUUUCUUUUCAGUGUCCUCACUGUAUGUCCACUUUACCCACUUCCCACCUCUGGUCCCCCUCAUGCUGUGCAUGGAUCCCGAACCUCUCCCAGCCCCUUUCUGAGUCCCCCUAGCAGGGCCACGCAAGACAGCUAGCUGGGAGAAAUGAAAGUACGCCCAGGUCCUAGAGAGCUCCGAGACUCUUCAUCCUGGCUGUUCUCACUCAUAAACCAGGUAGCCUGGGUCCCCUUUCAGGAAGAUGCAAUCUGAUCCCCUUUAUGAAGGGUCCUCCUUUCCACCUGGACUUACCCUUUCUAUGAACAUCCAUCUCAUCUGGUUGGGGGUGCAGAUAUCACUCUUAGUAGAGCCUCAUUCUCACCAUGUGACAUGGGGCUGGCUGCACGGACCUUCCUGGGCCACACAGCUGGUGGCAAGUGGCACCUGGUUGUGCCCAUCUUCAGAAUUCUGUCAGAAUAAAUAUAAUGUUCCUAGAGAAGGCUAGACACUGGAUAGUUUUUAGACUGGGGAGUAGUUCUUUUCUAGAAAGGCUGGGUGGUGACCAACCACUCUGGGAACAGCUCCUUCUUCCCACAUCCAGGUGUCCAACCCAGCCUGGAAUUUGGAUCAGGAUCCCGUCUUGAAUUAUUAUGGGUUGUGAUCAGGGAUCUCCCCUGCUUCCUCUCUUUUCCCCACUCUGGACUUCUCAUUUCAGUUUAAUCUGUUAAUUUCUGUUCUUAUUUCACUUUGCAGACUAUUUGCCGGUUUCACAAGACAUAAUUUUUAUCAACUAGCUCUUAAGAGAGGCAUAGCAAAGUGGGGUUUGCUACCAUUUCUAGAGAGAGAGGACACAGUCCUGGCCUGGGCUGCCCCCGCUCCAGUCAAUGCUCACUGAAAGUCUGUCUUAGCUGCCUGUUUGAAUGACUGUUCUUUUUCUCAUUUUUAAUUCUUGGACUCAUGUCCUCAUUGCUUCAUUCAAUUAAAAAAAAAUUAUUCUCCAGUCCCCUCCCACUUUGCUUCUUGUAUGCAUUGUGACCGACCCCACUUCCUCAGAAUGUAACGGGGCCAGAGGGAAACUUCUCACAAACUUCGUAGAGCCUCCUCAGGGGAAGCUAGGAAGAAGACAUCAAAUGUUUUUAAGUCAUGACCAAACAGGCUUGUUGGGGACAUAUCAUGGGGUGAGCUUUGAAGUGCUGGUGGUCCAGAGGGGUUGCAGAUACGUGACUUGGAGCACCCGUGUCUUAACGAUGGACAGUGAUAAAGGUGAACACACAGAGACAGACUAUUCUCUAAGAAUGUGAAAAACCUGAUCUGGAAGAGGAGCUAUAUAAACACUAUCUGACUAUCUUUGUCUUUUGGGGCCAGUGGCUGUUGCCAUAAUCACAAGCCUGUCUGUCUUCGAGAAGGGACAGUGGAGUCAUCCAGGUGCUGCCACAUGACAGGCACGGUGGGCACCGAUCCACAGUGGGCCCCACCUUCCCCAGCUCGCCUCCCUGCCUGUGCUGGCCUGGCCUUGCCUGCUGGCACCAUUGGAGUAGGAGGGGGUGGAACACGGGGCCCAUCCUGAUCAGGCCCCAUCUCAAGGCUGGCACUCCUGCCCAUCACCCUUAGAAGGAUCUUUUCCCAUGGCUUGACUCCCUUCAUUUCCCUAACUGAAAUACACCCACUCUCUUGGAAUAAUGACGUACCACUCAGUUGGACCCUCAAGAGUCACUGCUUUGUCUGUGCUGGUAGUUUGUGAGAAGUGACCCGCACGCUUCCAUUUGAUGCAUUUGAUGUGAGUGAAUCCAUACAUUUGAAUGUCAUUGUCCUUGAGACCCUACAUGUGCAGUUUGGCUCAUCUCAUUAAAGAUGCUUGAUGUAAUAAUUGGUUAGUUUCCUUUUAUUUUCCUGCAGGCUUUUCCAUGAGUAUUAUUUUUUUCAAAGAACAAAUCUGUAUGGCUUUUCCCCAUCUCCAUAUUUUGUUUUGCUAUGAAUUGCUUUGCUUUGGUGAACUUGUCCUAGUAUGCUUGCCUCACAAACGUUUUAGCCAUUGUGAAUUUUCUUCAUCUCUGUAAAUAGUUCAUCUGUGCUUCUCCCUGAUGACGUUUUAUUUUUUUCCCCUGUAAGCAACCGAGGUAGAAAAAUAAAUUGUUUACCAUGGA